AUUAGAGCUGCAUGAUCAAAGUAUCAGAGGUGAUUCUUGCAGAAGAAAAUGAGCUGUGUGCAUUCUCAUCACAGAGAAAUACGAGUCCCGUUUCUUCUGACUUCUCAUACAAAUACUUAUGGUUUUGACUGAAAGCAUUGAUUCCUGAAGAUGAGGGUGCCCUGCCAGCAUUCAUGGGGUCUCUGCUGCUGACUACAUUGAGAAUUGGAAAAAUACAUUACUGUUCCAUUUCUUUUACAACUACUUUCACGG
Serinus canaria (Common canary) is the source of this 252-nucleotide long non-coding RNA. RefSeq lists it as uncharacterized. Lineage: Eukaryota; Metazoa; Chordata; Aves; Passeriformes; Fringillidae. The record is from RefSeq and is a predicted model, not a curated record. The transcript is spliced from 3 exons.